This 619-nucleotide ribosomal RNA is filed under the name uncultured bacterium. RNAcentral's name for it is "bacterial SSU rRNA". It matches the Rfam family "Bacterial small subunit ribosomal RNA", at positions 338 to 1414 of the family's 1533-position model. The record is from RNAcentral.
CCUACGGGAGGCAGCAGUAGGGAAUCUUCCGCAAUGGACGAAAGUCUGACGGAGCAACGCCGCGUGAACGAUGGAGGCCUUCGGGUCGUAAAAUUCUGUUGUUAGGGAAGAACAAGUGCUAGUUAAAUAAGCUGGCACCUUGACGGUACCUAACCAGAAAGCCACGGCUAACUACGUGCCAGCAGCCGCGGUAAUACGUAGGUGGCAAGCGUUGUCCGGAAUUAUUGGGCGUAAAGCGCGCGCAGGCGGUUUCUUAAGUCUGAUGUGAAAGCCCCCGGNUCAACCGGGGAGGUCAUUGGAAACUGGGAAACUUGAGUGCAGAAGAGGAAAGUGGAAUUCCAAGUGUAGCGGUGAAAUGCGUAGAGAUUUGGAGGAACACCAGUGGCGAAGGCGACUUUCUGGUCUGUAACUGACGCUGAGGCGCGAAAGCGUGGGGAGCAAACAGGAUUAGAUACCCUGGUAGUCCACGCUGUAAACGAUGAGUGCUAAGUGUUAGAGGGUUUUCCGCCUUUAGUGCUGAAGUUACGCAUUAAGCACUCGCGNGGAGUACGGUCGCGAGACGAGAACGUAAAGGUAAGUAGUUAGCGUGAGAGUGCGACGGCGACGACGAGGGAGGAGG